Molecule: ribosomal RNA, 253 nt
Filed under: uncultured bacterium
Lineage: Bacteria
Description: partial 16S ribosomal RNA
Rfam family: Bacterial small subunit ribosomal RNA
Source: RNAcentral
UACGGGGGGGACAAGCGUUGUUCGGAUUUAUUGGGCGUAAAGGGCGCGUAGGCGGACCUACAAGUCGGAUGUGAAAACCACGGGCUUAACCCGUGGCCUGCAUUCGAUACUGUAGGUCUUGAGUAUCGGAGAGGAGUGUGGAAUUCCAGGUGUAGCGGUGAAAUGCGUAGAUAUCUGGAAGAACACCGAUGGCGAAGGCAGCACUCUGGACGAAUACUGACGCUGAGGCGCGAAGGCUUGGGGAGCAAACAGG